AGUCCCAGCUCCUCCAGGGCCAAAUCCAGUUCCUGCUCCUCCAGGGCCAAAUCCAGUUCCUGCUCCUCCAGGGCCAAAUCCAGUCCCAGCUCCUCUAGGACCAAAUGCAGUACCUGCUCCUCCAGGGCCAAAUCCAGUACCUGCUCCUCCAGGGCCAAAUCCAGUUCCAGUCCCACCUUGUCCGAAUCCAGUUUGAGGUCCAGCUCCUGCUCCUAUGCCGGUUCCAGCUCCGACUGCUGCUCCACCAGAAGCCACAGGAACCCCCAUCAUGCAAUCUGAGGUCAUUCAGCUCCCCGUUUAGCGAGGAUCACCCAGCCGAGGACCCCGAUGAUGAGUCCAUCUCUGUCAUCACCCCAACAUCAGGACCGAGACAACCAGAUGGAGGCAAUUUGGACGCGGAAAUGAUCAUUCUCCUGCUGACAUCAUCCGAGGGGACCAAUUAGACAGCAGGCUCAUCUCUCUUCUUGCCUGAUCAGAUAGCGUUUUACACUCAUGAAUGUGUGCGCUGAAAACCCGACGCGACCUCCGCUGAUGCAGUUCAUAUCCAACAGUUGUCUUAUGGAGUUUUCUGCAGUCGCUCUGUGAUUGGUUACAGUCGGAGAGAUGAUGAUUUUGGCGAUGUGGCGAUGAGGACGAGCGAAAUGGUAUGAACACCAAGGAAGGUGAAAUAUAAGAGGUCAGAGAGGUCCAUCAUGCUGCAAGAUGACAGGUUACUACGUUGUCCAGAAAAGGAACACAGGACUGCAGAGAGGGGACAGGAAAUGACGCAAUGACCGAACUAAAACCGGGGAAUCUACUAUUACAUCGUCAGCAUCCUCCUAAACCCCGACGCCUCCAAGAUACCCUAACCCUAACCCUAACCCUAACCCUAACCAC
Long non-coding RNA from Cottoperca gobio, 876 nucleotides. RefSeq lists it as uncharacterized. Lineage: Eukaryota; Metazoa; Chordata; Actinopteri; Perciformes; Bovichtidae. The record is from RefSeq and is a predicted model, not a curated record. The transcript has 4 exons.